RNAcentral lists this ribosomal RNA (253 nucleotides) under uncultured bacterium. RNAcentral describes it as "partial 16S ribosomal RNA". It matches the Rfam family "Bacterial small subunit ribosomal RNA", at positions 524 to 776 of the family's 1533-position model. The record is from RNAcentral.
UACGUAGGGUGCGAGCGUUAAUCGGAAUUACUGGGCGUAAAGCGUGCGCAGGCGGCGCCGCAAGUCAGGCGUGAAGUCCCCGAGCUUAACUUGGGAAUGGCGCUUGAAACUACGGUGCUGGAGUGUGGCAGAGGGAGGUGGAAUUCCACGUGUAGCGGUGAAAUGCGUAGAGAUGUGGAGGAACACCGAUGGCGAAGGCAGCCUCCUGGGCCAACACUGACGCUCAUGCACGAAAGCGUGGGGAGCAAACAGG